GCGAAAUUCUUUAUUCAUCCCGUUUCUGGACUUGUAACUUGCGAUUUGAAGAGCUUGUAAGCCUGGUCGCACUGCAAGAAAGGAAGCAUAGUAGAAAACCCGGAGGGAAAACAAUAUGCUUUAAUCUGGGGGUAACUUUAGCCAGGACAAAACUGUGAUAACAGAUAUGCAGUAACAAAAUCGACAGACAGCCCUGAGGAACAAUAUGAGCAUUGUUUGCUUCCGCGACACUUCAAUUGACGCGUGCGUGUAUAUCUCAUUUCGUGUACAGUUUAACUUUCUUCUUUCUCGACGAUGCCAUACUGAACUGCCCCAUAACCAGGUUUAGCAACCUUUUGAUCCUUCAUUUCUUACUCCUUAGGGAAGGGACGUCUAAUUACGCGAGUCGCGAAAACUCCUCACUGGUGUGUUUUUCGGUGGCUUAUAUAAUAGGGUGAAUCUGAUCUCUUCCUUUGAGAUAAGUUACUGCAGUGAAACGCAUCUCUAAAAGUCCUAAGGGAAGGGACAUCUCAGCGAGCCACGAGAAGUCCGCACUUGUAACUUUGUGGCUUUUAGCAGAUAGAGUGAAUCUGUGCUCUUCCUUUUAAAUAAGUCACUGCAGUGAAACACAUCUCUAAUAGUUUUCACGUCUUAACAAGCCGCAAGAAGUCCAUCCUUGUAACUUUUGUGAUUUUCAGUGGAUACAGUGAAUCUGUUCUCUUCCUUUAGGAUAUUUGGGAUAAGUUACUGCAGUGAAACACAUCUCUAAAAGGCUCGUGGAACGAACUUUGCCCCCCUACUAGUCAAAUGAAAGAUUUUGUUUAGAAGUUGGAAUUUCUAUGAUCUCAAGAAGGUACUGAGAUAAAAGUCAAGGAUGGCAGAAGACAAUACCGCAGAUGAAGGUCAGUUAUGAUAGCAUCCAACAAGAGUAUUUCACUCUGCAUGUUUUCAAUAGAUUAUUCGAUUCAUUUGGUUGAAAUUCUUAGAUUGGACGUCAAAAAAACACAAUCGCGCGUGCAUUGCUUUGGAAAGGGAAACUUGCUCUUGAUAUUUGGCUUGAAAAUACAUAAAAUAGUAGUUGUUGGACUGCAACUCUUUGACUAUUCCGACUCUUCGAAAACUAAGCUGCG
Long non-coding RNA from Orbicella faveolata, 1109 nucleotides. NCBI's taxonomy places the organism in Eukaryota, Metazoa, Cnidaria, Anthozoa, Scleractinia, Merulinidae. The record is from RefSeq and is a predicted model, not a curated record.